UCGGGAAUUUUGGGGAAUGGGCGAAAGCCUGACCCAGCAACGCCGCGUGAGGGAUGAAGUAUUUCGGUAUGUAAACCUCGAAAGAAUGGGAAGAAUAAAUGACGGUACCAUUUAUAAGCUCCGGCUAACUACGUGCCAGCAGCCGCGGUAAUACGUAGGGAGCAAGCGUUGUUCGGAUUUACUGGGCGUAAAGGGCGCGUAGGCGGCGCGGUAAGUCACUUGUGAAAUCUCUGAGCUUAACUCAGAACGGCCAAGUGAUACUGCUGUGCUAGAGUGCGGAAGAGGCAACCGGUAUUCUUGGUGUAGCGGUGAAAUGCGUAGAUAUCAAGAGGAACACCUGAGGCGAAGGCGGGUUGCUGGGCCGACACUGACGCUGAUGCGCGAAAGCCAGGGGAGCAAACG
This 402-nucleotide ribosomal RNA is filed under the name uncultured bacterium. RNAcentral describes it as "bacterial SSU rRNA". It matches the Rfam family "Bacterial small subunit ribosomal RNA", at positions 355 to 774 of the family's 1533-position model. The record is from RNAcentral.